AUUGAACGCUGGCGGCAUGCCUUACACAUGCAAGUCGAACGGCAGCACGGGUGCUUGCACCUGGUGGCGAGUGGCGAACGGGUGAGUAAUACAUCGGAACAUGUCCUGUAGUGGGGGAUAGCCCGGCGAAAGCCGGAUUAAUACCGCAUACGAUCUACGGAUGAAAGCGGGGGACCUUCGGGCCUCGCGCUAUAGGGUUGGCCGAUGGCUGAUUAGCUAGUUGGUGGGGUAAAGGCCUACCAAGGCGACGAUCAGUAGCUGGUCUGAGAGGACGACCAGCCACACUGGGACUGAGACACGGCCCAGACUCCUACGGGAGGCAGCAGUGGGGAAUUUUGGACAAGGGGCGAAAGCCUGAUCCAGCAAUGCCGCGUGUGUGAAGAAGGCCUUCGGGUUGUAAAGCACUUUUGUCCGGAAAGAAAUCCUUGGCCCUAAUACGGUCGGGGGAGGACGGUACCGGAAGAAUAAGCACCGGCUAACUACGG
RNAcentral lists this ribosomal RNA (485 nucleotides) under uncultured bacterium. RNAcentral describes it as "partial 16S ribosomal RNA". It matches the Rfam family "Bacterial small subunit ribosomal RNA", at positions 29 to 506 of the family's 1533-position model. The record is from RNAcentral.